AGAGUAGUGGCGCAGCCCGGUAGCGCACGUGCUUUGGGAGCAUGGGGUCGCAAGUUCAAAUCUUGUCUACUCUA
RNAcentral lists this transfer RNA (74 nucleotides) under Candidatus Brocadiales bacterium. RNAcentral describes it as "tRNA-Pro". It matches the Rfam family "tRNA". Rfam says of the family: Transfer RNA (tRNA) molecules are approximately 80 nucleotides in length. Their secondary structure includes four short double-helical elements and three loops (D, anti-codon, and T loops). Lineage: Bacteria; Pseudomonadati; Planctomycetota; Candidatus Brocadiia; Candidatus Brocadiales. The record is from RNAcentral.